This 382-nucleotide unclassified non-coding RNA is filed under the name uncultured fungus. RNAcentral describes it as "partial contains 5.8S ribosomal RNA and internal transcribed spacer 2". The stretch from base 1 to 133 matches the Rfam family "5.8S ribosomal RNA", at positions 22 to 154 of the family's 154-position model. Lineage: Eukaryota; Fungi. The record is from RNAcentral.
UGGCUCUCGCAUCGAUGAAGAACGCAGCGAAAUGCGAUAAGUAAUGUGAAUUGCAGAAUUCAGUGAAUCAUCGAAUCUUUGAACGCACCUUGCGCUCCCUGGUAUUCCGGGGAGCACGCCUGUUCGAGUGUCAUGAAACUAUCAAGUCUAUUGGUUUUUAUUAAUCAGUAUGGCUUGGAUUUGGAUCUUGCCGUGCUUAGUCUCGGCUGGUCCUAAAUAUAUUAGCUGGCCCUUGUGAAGGCUUGGUUCUACUCGAAGUGAUAAUUAUCUAACUUUGAGGACAUUCUCCGGAAUGGCCAGACUUUUCUCGGACUGCUUAUAGUCGUCUUCGGACAAUAUAACUUUCAAAUCUGACCUCGAAUCAGGUGGGACUACCCGCUGA